Molecule: long non-coding RNA, 1193 nt
Organism: Temnothorax curvispinosus
Lineage: Eukaryota; Metazoa; Arthropoda; Insecta; Hymenoptera; Formicidae
Exons: 4
Source: RefSeq, a predicted model, not a curated record
GUUCCAAAACGCGAAGGCAUAAUAAUCGAAGGUGUAAUAUACAACAUUACGACAACACCCGAGAUGCAUAAAAGAAUACGAAAUGGUAAGUUAAGUAGUAGAGUAUUUCAUUAAACUAAUUUCAUUAAACAGCUCGUUGAGCUCGUUGAGCUUCCAUUUUAUUCGUUGCUAAUACUACUUUUUCAACGUUCCAAAUCGUUCAACCAGAGUAACUUACUCUGGGCUUACUCUCUCCCCACUAUCUUGGGUUCUUUAGAGUUGACGGAGUAGAGUUUUGGAACGUACCCCAGGAGCCAUAGGCAGAAUGCAGAAGCCAUAGCGCAUGCGCUGUGGUAUUACUUUAUCUGCCUAUGGCAGAAUGGCAGAUAUCAUAGCGCAUGCGCUAUGGUUUCUGUAUUCUGCCCAUGGCUUCUGGAUUUUCAAUCUACAUAAAAAUACAUAAUGCAUAGCCACGGGCAUAGGCACAUACAUUCUCAUUGUAGCCGGUCCUAAAGAAAAGUGAUUAAGAACAAAGAACGGAUUUAUAUUGAUUAACACCAGCAGCAACGCGCGGCUCAGGACAGUUUGAAAAACAUAGACAACGAGUCCGAUGCACCUAAAAUACCGAACAGAUUAUCAAAGAUUGGUAUUCGGAUGACGAGGACGAUGAUGAUGAUGAUGACGAGGGAAGUAAUCUUACUAUAGUGGAUAGUUCGAAAGACAAAAUCGAGCCUAUCGAGAAGACGCAAAACCUCGUUAUCAAGGAGGAGUUCCAGCCUGCGACAUCCGUGUCCAACGUACCCCAGCCGGCCGCUAUUUUGGACAAAUUAGGUGACCUGAGCAAAAUUGAUAUCAGUGCCGAAGUAUCCAAAUUGCUUUCUACUCUGAAGGCUCAGAGCUCCGCGACCAACAAGACGCAAGCAAACUCGAAUCAAGACGCGUCGAAACCUAAAUCGGCACAAGAUCCGAAGACGGAUAGCGAGACGUCGUCGAGUCCGAGGCGAUCACCAGAAAUUGUAAUUUAUUGCAAAAUAAACGCAUCUUCUCAUAAUUUUCGGAGGAGUUCCAGCCUGCGACAUCCGUGUCCAACGUACCCCAGCCGGCCGCUAUUGUGAACAAAUUAGGUGAACUGAGCAAAAUUGAUAUCAGUGCCGAAGUAUCCGAAGACAGUGCAUCUGUCGAACUUCGUUAUCUGUCCAGUUUUUAAUUUUUAU